UAGUUUUAAAAAGUGGUUUAAAUUGUGUAUUUACUUUUUCAAUAGGAUACAACCAUAAUUAAACCAAAAAGUUUAUGAAGAAGGGAUUACUGGAUUUUGUCACUUUGGUACAAGAAACAGAAAAGGAAAGCAUAGACCACCUUACUUAUACGGAAGCAUAGGAGCUGUUAAAGGAAAUUGCUGCCAGACAGUCAGCAGUUAUCACUGACAGCCUGUCCUGGCCCAGCUUGGACCAUCCUCAAGCUAAACAUGAUGGUGUGUUUGCAAGAAUUGUCCAUUUGGUAGACCAUGAUGAAGACCACCUUUGUUGUGGCAUGGCCUGAAAAUACUGUACAAGCCAGAGACCA
This is a long non-coding RNA of Dreissena polymorpha, 347 nucleotides long. RefSeq lists it as uncharacterized. NCBI's taxonomy places the organism in Eukaryota, Metazoa, Mollusca, Bivalvia, Myida, Dreissenidae. The transcript has 2 exons. The record is from RefSeq and is a predicted model, not a curated record.